This 578-nucleotide long non-coding RNA is filed under the name Homo sapiens (human). The record is from RNAcentral. Lineage: Eukaryota; Metazoa; Chordata; Mammalia; Primates; Hominidae.
AGAGCCUGCACAAGUUGCUCAAUCAAGAAGAAGCUGCCAGGCACAGUGGCUUGUGCCUGUAACCCCAGAACUUUGAGAGGCUGAGCGGGGUGGAUCACCCAAAGUCAGGAGUUCAAGACCAGCCUGGCCAACAUGGUGAAAUGCCGUCUCUACUAAAAAUACAAAAAUUCGCUGGGUGUGGUGGUGGGUGCUUGUAAUCCUAGCUACUCAGGAGGCUGAGACAGGAGAAUCCCUUGAACCCAGAGGCAGAGGUUACAGUGAGCCGAGAUCGUGCCACUGCCCUCCAGCCUGGGCAACAAAGAGUGAAACUCUUGUCUAAAAAAAAAAAGAAGAAGAAGAAGGAGAAGGAGAAGGAGCGGGAGAAGGAGAAGAAGAAGAAGAAGAAGAAGCCUCAGUGAAGUGCUCCAGCAUCUUCACCCCCUUGGUCACUUGCUCAUCUCCUUGAUGAACAAAAGCGGCCCCAGAUCAGAGCCAUCGAGCACCUGCAGCCAGCAAGGUUGGCUGGUUUUCAUUGUGUGCAUUUUUAAGGCGUCUUCUAUUUAUAGAAAGGAUUGUGGUCUUGCAUUUGUAGCAGCGAU